UGCCAGCCGCCGCGGUAAUACGGAGGGUGCAAGCGUUAAUCGGAAUUACUGGGCGUAAAGCGUGUGUAGGCGGUCUGCUAAGUCGGAUGUGAAAGCCCCGGGCUUAACCUGGGAAUUGCAUUCGAUACUGGUAGACUUGAAUUUGGUAGAGGAAAGUGGAAUUCCGGGUGUAGCGGUGAAAUGCGUAGAUAUCCGGAGGAACAUCAGUGGCGAAGGCGACACCCUGGACCAAUACUGACACUGGGGUGCGAAAGCGUGGGGAGCAAACAGGAUUAGAUA
RNAcentral lists this ribosomal RNA (279 nucleotides) under uncultured bacterium. RNAcentral describes it as "partial 16S ribosomal RNA". It matches the Rfam family "Bacterial small subunit ribosomal RNA", at positions 506 to 784 of the family's 1533-position model. The record is from RNAcentral.